UACGAAGGGGGCUAGCGUUGUUCGGAAUUACUGGGCGUAAAGCGUGCGCAGGCGGCUUCUCAAGUCAGGGGUGAAAGCCCAGAGCUCAACUCUGGAAUUGCCUUUGAGACUGAGUGGCUUGAGUACGAGAGAGGUGAGUGGAAUUCCCAGUGUAGAGGUGAAAUUCGUAGAUAUUGGGAAGAACACCGGUGGCGAAGGCGGCUCACUGGCUCGUAACUGACGCUCAGGCGCGAUAGCGUGGGGAUCAAACAGG
This 253-nucleotide ribosomal RNA is filed under the name uncultured bacterium. RNAcentral describes it as "partial 16S ribosomal RNA". It matches the Rfam family "Bacterial small subunit ribosomal RNA", at positions 524 to 776 of the family's 1533-position model. The record is from RNAcentral.